GGAGGGGUGGCCGAGUUGGUCGAAGGCGCUCGACUGGAAAUCGAGUACACGGCAAAACCGUGUCGCGGGUUCGAAUCCCGCCUCCUCCGCCA
This 92-nucleotide transfer RNA is filed under the name Bacillota bacterium. Its description in RNAcentral is "tRNA-Ser". It matches the Rfam family "tRNA". From Rfam's summary of the family: Transfer RNA (tRNA) molecules are approximately 80 nucleotides in length. Lineage: Bacteria; Bacillati; Bacillota. The record is from RNAcentral.